Molecule: long non-coding RNA, 7984 nt
Filed under: Homo sapiens (human)
Lineage: Eukaryota; Metazoa; Chordata; Mammalia; Primates; Hominidae
Description: HSALNT0250281
Source: RNAcentral
CAGCGCAGCCCGCAACACCCCUGGUCUGCCGCAGGAGACCCUGCCGAUGCCACUCAGGGUCAAGACUCUGGCGCGGUGGAAACUGCAGAGCAAAAGGAAACACAGACAAAAACAGUGAGAAGGAGAGAGAGCAUGUGGGGCUUUGCCAGAGAGGAACUUGGAUGGCAAUCACCUAAGAACUCCAAACUCAGUGCCAGGGCAGACUGGUGUCUAUUUUGCAAUGUCUUCCAGUAGUUGAUAACUUUCUACUUUUAAAAUAAUUGGAAGAAUGUAAGCUCUCAACUAGUCCACUAGUCCCGAAACAAUAGAUACCAGCUGGCAGAGAUAAUAGCUGUCUGGAAGAGAGAGAUACAUACCACAUCAAAAAACAACAAAAAAAGGAUGGCUCAAGUACUCAAAAGGCAGCACUAAAAUAAGGCUAUGUCUCUUCCUGAGAAUACUCUGGACUUCAUUCUCUGAUUAAAGAUCACAACUGCUUCUUCGUUGAGGAAAUCAUGUAUUUCAAAGCCACCAAUGAACAAGGUUUGCAUUUGUGUUCAUUUAAGAAAAGAAAAAAACCCUGAGCAAACCUUUCUCUGUGCAUUAAGCCUUCUGACCUUUAUUGAAAUAACAAAACAGUUAUUCAAAGGACACGAGGAUGAAUUAAAGAAUGACAAUCCAUGAAUUACACAGUAAACAAAUACUAUAUGUAUGAGACCGAUUCACUGUCACAAACCUGGAGAAGAAAACCCUUUUGAGGUUUAAAGCUGAGAGGGAGAUAAAAACUUGGUUGUACUACUUCUGGGAAAUGCUGAAGUUAUCCACGUGAUUUUCCAGUCACUGAUUAUUUUAGCAAAGUAACACAAACAGAGGAGGAGCUCUGGACUCUAGCUUCUCAUUUCUAAAAGAACAGAUGUAAUGGGAUGUAUUGGUCCAGCACUGAUAACAGGUUAUCCUACAAUCAAGUAUACUCUUUCCAGAAAGCUGAGUUAGGUAUGCAACUGCCUUUCUAAGCCAUGACUACAUUGCUAAAUGAAUCAUUGAUUUGGAAAAUCUGAAGUGACCUUCAGCUUGUUCUCCAGCUCUUCCUCAACAGAAAAGAGAGGCAAAAUCAGCAAAAUAUUGGAAAGAGGUAGUUUUUCUAAAGGUAUUUGUGGCAGGUAGAAGAUUGGAGGCCACUCAGCUAUGUGUGUAAGUGUGUGCAGGGAGAAAUUAGGUUCUAUAUUCAGAAGUGACAUUCUUUGUAUUUUCAGUGUGGCUCUAAAAACAGAGCCUUUUUCUUAUAGUUCAGAGUCAGACACUGCCCUUGGCUUCUCAGCCAUUCUAGUAAACUAUUUGUUACUCAGAAAGCCUCAAAUUCUUCAUUGAAUUUAUUUGGACCAGUUUUUGUGCACUUACCUCGUUGGCAUGGUAAUAGUCUUUUGAAUAACCAAUACUGUGAACAAUUAUACAAUUAAAAAUUCUACUUCCAUUAUUAUUCUUAACUUCUCCCUUUAUAUUUUGUUACAGUUAUGAGGUAUGUUUUAUUAACUAUUCUAGACAUAGAUCUAGCCCUGCAUUUACUCAGCACUGCCUUGCUCCUUUUCAUGAGGGGUGAUCUAGUUAGACAUAUCAAUAUUCAAUGAAAUGUAUAGAUUACCCUGAUAAAAUGGCUCAAUGAAGUUCAUGUAAGGUCAAUGGAAGAUUGAGGCAUCAUAUGCACUGAGCCACUAAUUGGUCUCAUACUAGUAGGAUAUAGCUAUCCCCACCCCCUAUAUCUUGAGUCUCCUUCCUCUUAGGUGCUGAGCAUUUCCAAAGGCUUCUCUAGCUGAAGCAGGUAUAAGAAAAUGAAGUGACAUAAAGCAUCAACCCUUAGGUAUAAAUGAUUGGCAAGUCUCAACCUUGCUAAAACUGAGACUUUUCAAUUAGCUAUGCUUAAAAGUUUCUACUGAAUUACUGAAGCCAUAAUUAUGUAUGUAAUUCAAGUUUCCUUUGAGCUGACCUACAAUGAAAGAAGUUACCUAAAUGACCUCUUAGGUCCUUUUCUCUCUCCAGCAAUCAUGGAUACUUUACGAAUCUCAUAAGGAGUACAGCUCAUUUAUUAUUAACACCAUUUUAGAAUGAAGGAAGAAGAGGCUUAGAAAGGUUUAGUAGCAGAGAAGAGAGCAGCCUUCUGAUUUGUGGGUUCCACAUUCUGGAUGCAGAAAACUUUCAGUCAUUCUUAUCUAUUGUGAGGCUUGUACCAGUUUCUCCAUAAACUUACAAAACCAAACCAUUUUGACAAGCUUUGUUCCUGCCUCUGACUUCUUUCAGAUAGUGGCUAACCAUCUUCUCUUGAUGAGUCAUUUUUGCUCUUCCUCAUUCCCUUCUUGAUGUUCAAGUAGGUGAACGUGAUGACUAUAAAAGGCAAGCAAUUAAUAUCUGGGGUUAGGCAGAGCUCUGUAAGCCAAUCUCCAAGAAUGUGCAAGCUCCUUUGUCCUUAACUGUAACCUUGGCACAUGAAAAGCAACUUCCAUUCCGUUUUACCAACAUUUCGGUCAAAGAUCAAUUGCCAUUGUAAUUAUAUCAUAUAUCACAGGAUGGGGAAUCAGUGAGAGGGCAGGCCCUUUAAACUAAUACAUAUCAUUAGCAUUUAAAGAACAUGAAAAACAAAUUGAACAUUAGUCCUCAUGUAAGUCUUUUUUCUAGAGCAAAUAAUUUUCCAAAUUAAAAUGAAUAAAUUAAUGAAAUUGUCACAUGUCUGAGAAUAAACUAGGUUGGUAAUGCCGUCAAGCUCUUAGCAAAGUUUAGCUCAUUGUACUUCUCUGUCUGAUCAUUAUAACAUCUAAUCAAGGGGAGCUUAAAUACUUCAAUGAGCUCUCAAAAUAAAUUUGAUCUGAGCAGCUCAGGUCUCAUGGAUUCCUAGGGUUACUGACUGGGUGAAACAUGUUUUUGUUUUAAUCCCUGUCUCAGCUCAAAGAGGAUUAAUGCCCGUAAUUCUGCUAUCCCCAUUUAAUUGAGAAAUGAAAUUUGAAGAGGCACCUCCUGGAACACUCCACUUUGAAAUAUGACCCAUCCACUGUCUAUAUAAUAAAUCUUCCUCUGCUCUCACACACUUAUCCACAUCCUUCCUAUCCCAAAGAAGGAGGAAAGAAAGUUAUUGUGUGUGUGUGUGUGUGUGUGUGUGUGUGUGUGUUUCUGUGCAUCUAAUCCAAAACACACAAUGUUGUUGUUUUAUUUUUCAAUUUUGGAAUUAUCCUAAUAAAGGCAUUCUCUGGGAAGCUCAGACUGCAUCUCAAACCUUUCUCUGACACUAGCAUCCUCAUUGGAACAAAUAGCCCUUUCACUAAAAGCAAUACAGUUAUUGCAUUCAUGUUAUAUGAUGGUAAUUUUCACUUUUGCUUUCAAUACAACAUUAAAAGAAAAAUUGUCUAUAGGAAAGAAAGAGGCAAUAUACUAUAUCCUGGAACUAAUUCUUUGGCAUCUGUAAAAAAGGGGGCCAUAAUUCUGAAUAGAGGCUCCUGUCCUAAAACAGACCCAAUGCUAAGAUCUAAUAGAAAGGGCACAGAGAAGCAUAAGGAAACUUAAUGUCACUUUCACGUUUUUUGUACAAGUUGAUGUGAGGAUCUAAAGAGGCAAUUUCUGUAAAAUGCCUAGUAGAGGACCAGGCAUAUAGUAAGCCCUCAGCAAAUGCUGGCUGUUAUCAUUAUGUUUUAUAAAGAAUUUUUACAUCUUCCUCCUAAGCCCUGAGGCUUCAUAACGAAGCCUUAUAUAUGACUCUCAAUGGCUCAAUGUCUUUCCUAACCUAAUGUAGAAAGUGACAUACCAUUGCUUCCAACAUAACCUAUUGGUCACAUGGACCAACAUAAGACCAAUGUGGGAUGACCCUGUACAUAAGGGUAAGAAGCAGGCAUCACUUGGGGCCAUCUCAAAGGAAGGUGACCACAACUGCCUAAUGGCAGUUGAAUCCUUUAUCAAGCUACCCUCAGUAACACUUCAGCUUUCAAGGACCAGGUUUUUGUGACUAUUGUGAACAGGAUUUUAGUGAAUGAAGAUAUAUCCCAAAAUAACAUUUCACUUAAAAGUUGAAUAUCUGUUAUCAAUUUACAAAUGCUUUUAUGUUAUAUCUCACUUGAGCUUCAAAAUAACCUUUUAAGACAGACAAGAGUAGAAACUACUCCAGUGAUUUCAUAGAUAAGGAAACUGAAGAUCAGAGAGACUUAAUGAUUAACCUAAGAUUUAAACUAGAUAUCCUCCUAGCAUUCUCAUGGCACUUAUUCUGCUAGCGUAGGCUGCCUUGUAUAUUUUUUAAAUGACUAUCUGUUUAUGUGCUGGUCAUGGGGUUUGCAGCAAAUCACAAGUGUGUAAUUUUUUUUUCUUAAAGGCAUUUAAUCUACUUUCUAAAAAUCACUAGAAUUCAGAAACUGAUACUACUUCUUUUGUUUCAUUAUUUGCCUCCCUGCCCCCAACACUCAUACAUAUUUAGAGACACCCAUGGACACUCAUGAACACACAUAUUCUUCUUUCUAGUCCCUUAUCAAUGGCAAACUAAAGUUAUUUUAGAAUAUACUAGCUGUCAUUGUGCCACAGAGAAACCUCUCUUUCAUGCAAAUUGAUAUAUGUAUAUAAUCAUACAUGUUUAUAUAUAAACUUUGUAGCUUUCCUCCCUCUUUUCUAAAAUAAAUUAUGAAAGGUUGUAUGUUCAGGCUUCACGCAGAAUUUUUCAUUUGAGGGAGACUUUUUCAACCCUUUCUAUUUGAGUUGGUAGCCAUUUAUAUGAAGAGAAAAUGAAUACUAAUGGAAAAUCCUAGAGUGGAUUUGGAAAAUCAUUAUAACAGUUCUGCUAUAGGUUUGGGCCUUUGACAAACCACCUAUUCAAGGAUGAAAAAUCCACUAUUUCUCUUCUGCAUUUCUUUUUCCGAAUACAGCUAGAUUGAAUAACAGGCCAGAUAAAGGAUUCAGAACAAUUGCUUUACUAAGUAAUAGUGAGCCCAUGUUCUAACCAAUGGGACAGAAACUGACCCUCUGUAUCUCUGACACAGUUGCCUUUCAUUGACAGAUUUACAGUGGAGGGGUUGGGAGAGCAGAUGAAUUAAAAAAAAACAAAAGCAAAUCAAGAUCCCCCAUAAAUUUCACGAUCCCCACAUCUUCCACCUCAGCACCUAUUAGAACACCUUACUCUUAAAUUCUGCACAUGUGGAGAUUUAUUUGUAUCCCAGAGGUUUGCUCAGAUGUUUCCUCUGUGCUUUCAAUGCAGGCCCACCCUUUUCUUUCUUCAUAUUAAAACCAUAUAGAUUCUCCUUGAAGCCUUCUCAACUGGUAAUAAUCAUUUACAUCCUUGCUAGUGCUUAUGAUUUUCGAAUUACUUUUAGAUAAUCUAACUCAGCGAUCUCCACACAACCUUAGACACUUAGCCCGGCAAGUAUUGUGCUUUUGCUUUCAUGGAUGAGAAAAAGGAGACUUGGAGUGCUUUGAUUAGCAAACAAGGUUACAGAGCUAAAAAAGGAGUGACACUGGAGUAGAUCCCAGCUUAAAUGAAACCCACUGCUUUACCUGCCCCUAUAGCCUGCAUGAUAUUUCCCUAUUCUGAGUGCUUGGAGCUCUUGGAGUCUCUUACAUCUAAUGUGAUCAUUAAGAGGUACUAACUGUCUGAUUGCUUCUUGUGUGCAGCUAACUCACUGGUGACCCAGCACUUUGGGAGGAUGAGGAGGGUGGAUCACAAGGUCAGGAGUUCGAGACCAGCCUGGCCAACAUGAUGAAACCCCGUCUCUACUAAAAAUACAAAAAUUAGCCAGGCGUGGUGGCAUGCACCUGUAUUCCCAGCUACUUGGGACACUGAGGCAGGAGACUUGCUUGAACCCGGGAGGCAGAGGUUGCAGUGAGCCAAGAUCGUGCCACUGCACUCCAGCCUGGGCGACAGAGUGAGACUCCAUCUCAAAAAUAAGUAAAUGAAUAAAUAAAAAUAAAAUAGAUUGAGCCUCCACAUUUUGCAUGCAGCUUUCUUGGUGCUUGUCCUUCUCCUGUGCUUACUCAAAGAUGGGACAUUGUGCACAAUGAGAAGAGUAUUGGGACCAGUAAGGAAGAAUGAGUCAGAUAUUGUGGGACCUCUUUUUUUGUUGUUUUUUUUUGCUCCCAGAAAUCUUUGAGGUAAGUAACAUAGUCAAUUGAGGUCUGGAGUUAUGUACUCCAUUUAUUCAUUUUUUCUUAACAUAGUCCCUCCUUACUAUGUGAUAUUCUCUGUCCUAGACCUUGAAAAUACAAGUUAAAUAUGGCAUAUUCUUUACCUCUAUGAGCUUAAAAUUGAGUGGGGAAAGUUUCAUUUUUUCUUUGAAAUGAAAACAAACUUAAGUACCGAUAUGCAUGAGAAAAAUAAAUUGUUCAUUUCUUUACCUACAUCUCAUCAGGAGUAAACACAUUCUCUCUCUGGCUAAGCCAAAUAUACCAUAAAUCCCUCCUAAAAAAAUACCCUGAAAUUGAGAAUCCAAUUUUAAUGGCUAAAUUAUAUUUACCUUGAACUGAGCAUUUUCUAUUAGGAUUUACGUAUGCAUCUUGGGGAUUCUGAAUGUUGGACUUUUUUUUCUUUUUUCUUUUAGAUUUUAACCUGAAUGGAAAAGACAAUAUGAGGGUGAUGAAAGACUCUAGAUGGUCCGUCUUGGCAUCUGCUCAAUGAAGGAGAAUCGCAGAUAUGUGAACUCCUCCUGCUUCUGCUGUUUGUAGGAAGAGGCAGACUUGAAACCCUGCAUUGUCUGUGGCCUAAACAUUGCACAGAUGAUCAAUUUGUGAAAUAAGGGAUUUUUUAUUUGUAUUUGCCUAAAUAGAGAAACGCUAAUGGUGUGUUCCAUCAAUUAAAGAGAAAAGAAAUAAAUCUACCAAUACUACUGCAUUUGUUCAUUCAUAAAUUCAUUCAUUCAUUCCUCAUUCAUUCAUAUGCUAGAUCUUUGUAAUAAAAAAUUGAAAAAAAAUUAAACUCUUCAUUAUAAGUCUCAUCCUAGGAAGACAGACAAGUACACAUAUGAUAAGACAAGAAAAUUAAACUUUCUCAAGUGUUAAAGAGCAAGCACCAUCAUAUGUGUUUUUUAAUAUCACAUUGCGUUUAAUCUAAAUGCGCUAAGGAAACACAGGGCCAACCAGGGAGCUUGAUGUAAGUUUUUUGAUAAAUCUUAAUAGUGAAGAAUGGGGUGUAGAUUGUUAGAAAAAGACAAAUCCAUGGGGAUUUGAAUGUUAUUCGUACUGUUUUGAGUGGACAUAAGACAGUCCUGUGUAACUAGAGAAUAAAGUACGUUUAGCACCGUGAUGGGAGAAGAGAUGAGAAAGAUAAGCUGGAUCAAAUGACUUAAAGGACUUGAAAUCCAUCUUAAAAUAAAGGCUUCUACGAUAAAAAAAAAGGUAACUAAAAUCAAAGUGCCAAAAGGAAUAAGAAAAAGGUAAGUGAAAUCAAAGUUUUCUAUUAUAGAAGGAAAAUGAGUUGUUAUUUAUAAUGAAAAAUUGGAGAAGACAGAAACUGGUUAGGGAGUGGUUGACAUACCCCAUAACAUGAGGAUCUGAGGGCCAAGGUAUUAUGGAGAAUGGAAUUAUGGAGGAUAGGGCGAGACAAGAGACAUUUCAGAGAAAAAAAGCUGUGCUCCACAACCAGCUGUACUAGAACUUGCUAUUGUUCUCUGACGCCAAACCCUCCAUUGGGGUAAGCUAUGUUCAAUCACCUUCAUCUCGUAAGUGUUCAAGUGGGCUUUGCAGGAAAAUUGGUAUCUACUACUUCAGGAGGGAGACUCUUUAACCCAGAAGAAGGCAAAAAAAAAGUUUGAGCUGCCAAGUCUUAUUUGUGUUUAAUGUAUUUUAUCGAAUUAUCUUGAAGACUCAGUUCUUAGUUCUGUGUCAUAAAUAUGAACACUAUAUUUCCUCCAUUUGGGAAUUUUCAGUACUUUCCUUAAAAGGAGGCUAGCAAAAUGUAGUUUUUCUACAAACUCACUUACAUGGGUUGAAAGAGGAGUUUAUUUCCUAAGAUGUACUAUCUUGAAUAUUUAUUUUAGAUAAUUAUUUAUGCUUACAG